RNAcentral lists this long non-coding RNA (468 nucleotides) under Olea europaea (common olive). RNAcentral's name for it is "long non-coding RNA (OEUR_LNC010330)". The record is from RNAcentral. Lineage: Eukaryota; Viridiplantae; Streptophyta; Magnoliopsida; Lamiales; Oleaceae.
UAGAAUAUAAGUUUUAUAUUCAAAUCUAGAUAUUACAAGGCAUGCCUAGAAGAAUAUGCUUGUCAACUGCAAGUUACUGAGAAAAUAAGCAAAAUUUGCACGAGAUUUAGUGCAUAUUAGGUAAGCUUAAAUGUCAAACAUACAUUUUAUCAACCAAUUUUGUAUGACCCACUACUACCCACAUAAUAACUCAUUUCAUAGAACCCAUAACUUAUAAUCACCCCCCAAGCGUGUUCUAUGAACUUUAGAUGAUGAUGUCAAACAUACAUUUUAUCAACCAAUUUUGUAUGACCCACUACUACCCACAUAAUAACACAUUUCAUAGAACCCAUAACUUAUAAUCACCCCCCAAGCGUGUUCUAUGAACUUUAGAUGAUGUGCAUAUUUUUGCUCAUAAUUAAACUUUUCAGUUCAAAAAUAAGCAAGAUAAAUAUGCAGCUCUUAGCAAUAUAAUUAGAGACUCUGUAA